This is a long non-coding RNA of Etheostoma cragini (Arkansas darter), 422 nucleotides long. RefSeq lists it as uncharacterized. Lineage: Eukaryota; Metazoa; Chordata; Actinopteri; Perciformes; Percidae. The transcript has 3 exons. The record is from RefSeq and is a predicted model, not a curated record.
UAUGUGUGACUCUAUGUGUGUGUCUGUGUAGUUCCUGACCACUCUGUCUCAGUGGUGUACUCAAACUCAGUCUGUGGUUCUGAACAACCUGAAGCCUCGAAGCAAACGAGUCCAUGAGACGCGAGAGGAUUACCACAAGAACACACGAGGCAGCGUGGAGCCGGGGGUGGAGGCUCUGCUGCGGUCGGCGGGCGGCAGCCUGCUCCACCUGACUGUCUCUCAGUGUCCCCACAUCCUCACGGACCGGACGCUGUGGCUCGCCAGCUGCUACAGCCGCAACCUGACAACACUCACAUACAGGAGUUCAUCAGAUCCCAUCGGUCACGAAGUUCUCUGGGCCCUGGGAGCGGGCUGCAGGAACAUCAGCAGCCUGCAGGUGGCGCCGGCUCACCCCUGGUCAGCACGCGCACACACACACACAC